ACGAAGGGUGAAGCUUGCGGUUUAAUUGGAGUCAACGCCGGAAAUCUCACCGGGAGCGACAGCAGUGUGAAGGCCAGAUUAAAGGCUUGCCAGACGAGCUGAGAGGAGGUGCAUGGCCGUCGCCAGUUCGUGCCGUGAGGUGUCCUGUUAAGUCAGGCAACGAUCGAGACCCGCGUCCUCUGUUGCAACCAGUUUUGAGCUGGGCACACUGAGGAGACCGCUACUGAUAAAGUGGAGGAAGGAGCGGGCCACGGCAGGUCAGUAUGCCCCGAAUCUCCCGGGCCACACGCGAGCUGCAAUGGCAGGUACAAUGGGUUCCGACCUCGAAAGGGGAAGGCAAUCUCGAAAGCCUGCCGUAGUUGGGAUCGAGGGUUGUAACCCACCCUCGUGAACAUGGAAUCCCUAGUAAUCGCGUGUCAUUAGCGCGCGGUGAAUACGUCCCUGCUCCUU
RNAcentral lists this ribosomal RNA (450 nucleotides) under uncultured crenarchaeote. RNAcentral's name for it is "bacterial SSU rRNA". It matches the Rfam family "Archaeal small subunit ribosomal RNA", at positions 881 to 1338 of the family's 1478-position model. Lineage: Archaea; Thermoproteati; Thermoproteota. The record is from RNAcentral.